AUCUUUUUAGUUUAUAUUUAUUUCUAUAUUUGAUUAUUUUGUUUACUACACGUAUUACAGUCUGUUUCCAUGGUUACAUUCCUUUAUUAUGAGCUUAGUUACUGGCAACAUAUUUAAGUGGUGCCUCAAUCAUUCACAGGCCUGUUUGUUCCUGUUGUUUUACACGGAUGAACAGGUGGGAACCAAAAUCCCCUCGGGGACUGCAUCUGUCUUAGGUUGUCAGGACUCACUUCCUGAUCUUACCCGUCAUUGACUGUCCAGUCCAGCUCACAGGGGCAGAGAGCAUUGUGCCAAAACAGCAUGGCCACCCAUUAGUGAUGCGAGAUUGUGGCAAUUGUAACAUUGCUCUCAGGAGCCGCCACACACUGCUGAAAUACACCUCACGGGCAGUGUGCAAUUGCCAUAGUAAGGAUUCCCAGUCACACUGCUAGAGUCAUCACUACUCCCCAUCCACUGGAUCACUAAGAGCUGGCCAGUGAAGCUGUGCCAUCCCAUCUGGAUUCAUUAUGAUGUCAGCAGUUUUUAAAUGAACAGUAUUGUAACUUCUCCCAUUAUAUUUUUACAGAUAAUAAAAAUCCAUGUGUUCAGAGUUUCUUCUGUACUGGCUUCUCAGUAUUGUGUUGUUUUUCAUGACAUUUAGAAUUUUGAAGAGUUCUGGUCAGAUAUUUUUUACAAUGCCUUUCAAUUUUGGUUUCUGUAACUUUCUCAUGAACAGACUGUCAUUAUAGGGGAAAGAACCUCACAGAUGUGCGGUACCUUCUCAUUACAUCAUACAGGGGCCACAAUAUAGCAUGAUUUUUAGGUUAAAGUAGUGCUUGUCUGUUUGUCCACUCUAAACUUAUUACUUUCUAGCCUUUGAAAAUAAAUCACUAAGUCCAGGUAUACUCUAGGAAGGAAGAGUGAAUUGAACACCACUUUCUUGCAGAUCGGGUGGGAGAAGUAUCUGUGUAUAUUACUUGGGAUUUUUCUGCUAAGGAAAUUCAUCUCUUUCCCCAUAUUUAUUUGUUUAUUCAGUCAUUUA
Talpa occidentalis (Iberian mole) is the source of this 1021-nucleotide long non-coding RNA. RefSeq lists it as uncharacterized. Lineage: Eukaryota; Metazoa; Chordata; Mammalia; Eulipotyphla; Talpidae. The transcript has 3 exons. The record is from RefSeq and is a predicted model, not a curated record.